This is a long non-coding RNA of Labrus mixtus (cuckoo wrasse), 1127 nucleotides long. RefSeq lists it as uncharacterized. NCBI's taxonomy places the organism in Eukaryota, Metazoa, Chordata, Actinopteri, Labriformes, Labridae. The record is from RefSeq and is a predicted model, not a curated record. The transcript has 2 exons.
UUCACAAUCAACGAUCAUUUCUCAGGUGUUUAUUUAUAACAAAACUACAACAAAACUACAAUAAAACAAAAGUAUUUCAGAACACUGUCAAAGAAGGUAGUCUCCCUGUCAUCGUUUGAGCUGCAACUAUCUUCAGCCUGAAUUAAAUGAUUUAAAAAAAAAAUAUAUACAGUAUGUUGUUAGGCAAUAUACAUAGCCAGUUGAGUAUAACAUCAGAUGCUUAAGAAUUACCCUUAAAUAACCUAUUCAAUAUUUCGUCAGUAUCAUAACCUACCCUUUAAUAAAUAAAACUGUCCAAGUAUGAGGACAAUGGCUGUGCCUGGGCUGCUUUUAAUUAGGCUCUGUCACUUUUGAGAAAAGAGGACAAAACACAUGACACUGGAAAUGAAUGAAAUAAUCGCGGACUACCCGAAAUUACGGUGUUAUUUUAUUAUUUUCCAUAUUGCGUUGUUGGUUCGUUUGUGAUAUUUCACGCAUUAACGUUGUCGGCCCCACACACGUCAGCUUGGACUGCCCUGAAUCGUGGUGAAAACUCGACGUUCAUAGCAACAUAACCCAAAUAAAUAGGUUUGCCUAUCAUAGCCUACUUUCGUACUGCUUCUGCAACUUACCAGCACCGCUCGCUCUUCUUCGCUCGUCUGUCCCUGCACGACCGGGUGAUGCUCUGUCUCAACCUCCUCCUCUUGGCCGUCCUCCGCAGUCUUGCGUGGCUCAAUAGGCCUACUAAAUAGCUCAGUAAGCUUUUUACAUUUUGAUGCCUCCGCCUCUAAUGAUUAGGCCCUCUUCUCUUUCGAUUUCUCCCAGCCACCUUUCUCCUUACGCUUUCUACCUGACAUUUUCUUUCCCUCUUCUUUGUGUUUUUUUUGUUUGUUUCAAGUUUGGUGUCUUUUCCUCAUGUAAUUAAUUUAUCGAAUUGGCGCCCUCUGUUGUUUUGACGUUAAUAUCGCUGAUCAUUUUUUUUUCUUCUGAUGAGCCACAUAAAGGGACGGCCGUUCUGGACUUUGACAGAACGUCCCGUUGGUCAGUCCGCCCCUGGCAGAAUCUCUACACACUUGAUGGUAAUGAUGGCCAAUCAAAUUGAAGGCACUGUGUUGCCAAAUGGAAGAGAGGAAUGUCAGUUUUUUUUU